Molecule: ribosomal RNA, 484 nt
Filed under: uncultured bacterium
Lineage: Bacteria
Description: partial 16S ribosomal RNA
Rfam family: Bacterial small subunit ribosomal RNA
Source: RNAcentral
AUUGAACGCUGGCGGCAUGCUUUACACAUGCAAGUCGAACGGCAGCGCGGGCUUUGGCUUGGCGGCGAGGGGCGAACGGGUGAGUAAUACAUCGGAACGUGCCCAGCUGUGGUUUAUAGCUCGGCGAAAGCCGGAUUAAUACCGCAUUCGACCUGAGGGUGUAAGCGUGGGAGCUUCGGACCUUCCGCCAUUGCGCGAGUCGAUGGCGGAUUAGCUAGUUGGUGGGGUAAAGGCCUACCAAGGCGACGAUCCGUAGCUGGUCUGAGAGGACGAGCAGCCACACUGGGACUGAGACACGGCCCAGACUCCUACGGGAGGCAGCAGUGGGGAAUAUUGGACAAUGGGCGAAAGCCUGAUCCAGCAAUGCCGCGUGUGUGAUGAAGGCCUUCGGGUUGUAAAGCACUUUUGGCGGGAAAGAAAAGGACUGUGCCAAUACCACGGUGCGAUGACGGUACCCGCAGAAUAAGCACCGGCUAACUUCGUG